This 164-nucleotide small RNA is filed under the name human gut metagenome. Its description in RNAcentral is "Clostridiales-1 RNA". It matches the Rfam family "Clostridiales-1 RNA". The record is from RNAcentral.
GAUACCAGGGUGAAAAGGUCAAAAUGCCGUUCCUGCUUGCAGGAUAAGGCAUUUGAACUUGGAACCCGUCAAAUAUGAGGAAGCAGCGAUUUACGCAGUAAAUCAGCGAAUUCCGAAUAUUUGCAGAAUUGCGGGAGCUGCGUUGCAGCGUAGCAAUUCGCAGG